Gossypium raimondii (Peruvian cotton) is the source of this 141-nucleotide non-coding RNA. Lineage: Eukaryota; Viridiplantae; Streptophyta; Magnoliopsida; Malvales; Malvaceae. The record is from Rfam.
UAUUAAAAGAAUUAUCCAUUUCUACUAUUAAAAACUAACAGUUGGUAGAAUACCCAAAUAGUUAUACAUGGCAUGCCACGUGUACCUCAUUCAAAUGUGUACAUCAAUUUUUAACAAUAAAAAUGAAUGAAAUUUUUAACA